This 811-nucleotide ribosomal RNA is filed under the name Elmis sp. Turkey. Its description in RNAcentral is "SSU rRNA". It matches the Rfam family "Eukaryotic small subunit ribosomal RNA", at positions 1008 to 1776 of the family's 1831-position model. Lineage: Eukaryota; Metazoa; Arthropoda; Insecta; Coleoptera; Elmidae. The record is from RNAcentral.
CAAGAUACCGCCCCUAGUUCUAACCCAUAAAACGAUGCCAGCUAGCGAUCCGGCCGACGUUCCUUCCGAUGACUCGGCGGGGCAGCUUCCGGGAAACCAAAGCUUUUGGGUUCCGGGGGAAGUAUGGUUGCAAAGCUGAAACUUAAAGGAAUUGACGGAAGGGCACCACCAGGAGUGGAGCCUGCGGCUUAAUUUGACUCAACACGGGAAACCUCACCAGGCCCGGACACCGGAAGGAUUGACAGAUUGAGAGCUCUUUCUUGAUUCGGUGGGUGGUGGUGCAUGGCCGUUCUUAGUUGGUGGAGCGAUUUGUCUGGUUAAUUCCGAUAACGAACGAGACUCUAGCCUGCUAACUAGGCGUAUUUCCGACAUCUCAAAGGCCCGCCGGCCUGGCGUUCGCGCCUAGUCGCGCGCGGUUUUUACUGUCGGCGUACAAACAACUCUUCUUAGAGGGACAGGCGGCUUCUAGCAGCACGAGAUUGAGCAAUAACAGGUCUGUGAUGCCCUAAGAUGUUCUGGGCCGCACGCGCGCUACACUGAAGGAAUCAGCGUGUCCUCCCUGGCCGAGAGGCCCGGGUAACCCGCUGAACCUCCUUCUUGCUAGGGAUUGGGGCUUGCAAUUGUUCCCCAUGAACGAGGAAUUCCCCGUAAGCGCGAGUCAUAAGCUCGCGUUGAUUACGUCCCUGCCCUUUGUACACACCGCCCGUCGCUACUACCGAUUGAAUGAUUUAGUGAGGUCUUCGGACUGGUACGCGGUGGCGUUUCGACGUCGCCGAUGUUGCUGGGAAGAUGACCAAACUUGAUCACUAGA